Molecule: ribosomal RNA, 751 nt
Filed under: Staphylococcus sp.
Lineage: Bacteria; Bacillati; Bacillota; Bacilli; Caryophanales; Staphylococcaceae
Description: bacterial SSU rRNA
Source: RNAcentral
UGCAGUCGAGCGAACAGACGAGGAGCUUGCUCCUYUGAYGUUAGCGGCGGACGGGUGAGUAACACGUGGAUAACCUACCUAUAAGACUGGGAUAACUUCGGGAAACCGGAGCUAAUACCGGAUAACAUGUUGAACCGCAUGGUUCAACAGUGAAAGACGGUCUUGCUGUCACUUAUAGAUGGAUCCGCGCCGCAUUAGCUAGUUGGUAAGGUAACGGCUUACCAAGGCAACGAUGCGUAGCCGACCUGAGAGGGUGAUCGGCCACACUGGAACUGAGACACGGUCCAGACUCCUACGGGAGGCAGCAGUAGGGAAUCUUCCGCAAUGGGCGAAAGCCUGACGGAGCAACGCCGCGUGAGUGAAGAAGGUCUUCGGAUCGUAAAACUCUGUUAUUAGGGAAGAACAAAUGUGUAAGUAACUAUGCACGUCUUGACGGUACCUAAUCAGAAAGCCACGGCUAACUACGUGCCAGCAGCCGCGGUAAUACGUAGGUGGCAAGCGUUAUCCGGAAUUAUUGGGCGUAAAGCGCGCGUAGGCGGUUUUUUAAGUCUGAUGUGAAAGCCCACGGCUCAACCGUGGAGGGUCAUUGGAAACUGGAAAACUUGAGUGCAGAAGAGGAAAGUGGAAUUCCAUGUGUAGCGGUGAAAUGCGCAGAGAUAUGGAGGAACACCAGUGGCGAAGGCGACUUUCUGGUCUGUAACUGACGCUGAUGUGCGAAAGCGUGGGGAUCAAACAGGAUUAGAUACCCUGG